This 253-nucleotide ribosomal RNA is filed under the name uncultured organism. RNAcentral's name for it is "partial 16S ribosomal RNA". It matches the Rfam family "Archaeal small subunit ribosomal RNA", at positions 474 to 727 of the family's 1478-position model. The record is from RNAcentral.
UCCCAGCAGUCCAAGUAGCAAUCACAUUUAUUGGGUCUAAAACAUCCGUAGCUUGCUUUGUAAGUCUCUUGUGAAAUCCGGUCUCUUAAGGACCGGCAUGCGAGAGAUACUGCAAAGCUUGGGACCGGGAGACGUAAUGAGUACAGUGGGAGUAGCGGUAAAAUGUGUUGAUCCUCACUGGACUAACAACAGCGAAGGCACGUUACGAGAACGGAUCUGACAGUCAGGGAUGAAGGCUAGGGGCGCAAAGUGG